Molecule: long non-coding RNA, 278 nt
Filed under: Olea europaea (common olive)
Lineage: Eukaryota; Viridiplantae; Streptophyta; Magnoliopsida; Lamiales; Oleaceae
Description: long non-coding RNA (OEUR_LNC014331)
Source: RNAcentral
AUUGAUGAGUUUGUUUCACUCAUGGUUUUCGCACAUUUUUAGCUUGAUUAAAUACUAGAUUUUAUGAGUGUAGAACGUUUUUGAUGUGUUUGUUAGUGUUGUUUUGAAGAUAAGGAGAAGCAAUGAGAAAAGAAGUAUUAAAGUGGAUGAAGAGGCCAAAAACACGAAAUUGGGGCAGAAAGAUGGCGCUUAGGCGCUACACUUAUAGCGCCUAGGCGCUACGAAACGAAGAAAAGAUGAAAAUUGGACCCGAGAGGCAGCGCCUAGGCGCUACAACC